UGCGCGCGCCCCCGCCCCGCGCCCCCCGCGCCCCCGCCCCGCGCCCCCCCCGCCCCGCUACCCCGCGCCCCCGCGGCCCCCGCGCCCCCGCGGCCCCCGCGCCCCCCGCGCCCCCGCCCCCGCUUGUGUGCGCGGCUGUGGCCGGUCGAGGCCCGACCACCUGCUCCGAGGACUGUGUUUCUUGCUGACACCAAACGCCCGGCAGGGGGUGGAAUGAAAAGGACAAAUAAAUUAACUGUAAAGAAAAAACAACCCUUCCCGCAUUCUGCCACCUACAACGGCCUCUCCAUUCCCAAGCGUUCUCUCAGGGCCACCACCAGGCCCAGAAACCGCCGGAAGGGGGAAGGGACGUGGAUAAGAGCUAGAGAGUGUUGGUCUCCCUUUGGAGCUGAUUUGACCUCACUCCCCUUCUGGCAAAGCUUUUAUUUGCAUUUCCCUUGUGCACCCAACAGAUUAGUCCACAGUCCAUCUAAAGGAACUCUCCAGAAGGGAAAAAGACACCAGGAUUGA
Molecule: long non-coding RNA, 510 nt
Filed under: Canis lupus familiaris (dog)
Lineage: Eukaryota; Metazoa; Chordata; Mammalia; Carnivora; Canidae
Description: lncRNA (ENSCAFG00000058955.1)
Source: RNAcentral